RNAcentral lists this ribosomal RNA (226 nucleotides) under uncultured bacterium. Its description in RNAcentral is "partial 16S ribosomal RNA". It matches the Rfam family "Bacterial small subunit ribosomal RNA", at positions 538 to 763 of the family's 1533-position model. The record is from RNAcentral.
GCGUUGUUCGGAAUGACUGGGCGUAAAGGGCGCGUAGGCGGUUGACCAAGUUGGGGGUGAAAGCCCGGGGCUUAACCUCGGAAUUGCCUCCAAAACUGGUCGGCUUGAGUGUGGAAGAGGGUUGUGGAAUUCCCAGUGUAGAGGUGAAAUUCGUAGAUAUUGGGAAGAACACCAGUGGCGAAGGCGACAACCUGGUCCAUUACUGACGCUGAGGCGCGACAGCGUG